Streptomyces sp. Root264 is the source of this 57-nucleotide transfer RNA. It matches the Rfam family "tRNA", at positions 8 to 63 of the family's 71-position model. Rfam says of the family: Transfer RNA (tRNA) molecules are approximately 80 nucleotides in length. Their secondary structure includes four short double-helical elements and three loops (D, anti-codon, and T loops). The record is from Rfam. Lineage: Bacteria; Bacillati; Actinomycetota; Actinomycetes; Kitasatosporales; Streptomycetaceae.
UAGCUCAGCGGGAGAGCGCUUCCCUGACACGGAAGAGGUCACUGGUUCAAUCCCANN